UAAGUUAUUAAGGGCACACGGUGGAUGCCUUGGCAUUAAGAGCCGAUGAAGGACGUGUGAAUCUGCGAUAAGCCUCGGGGAGCCGAUAACUGGGCUGUGAUCCGAGGAUUUCCGAAUGGGGAAACCUGGCUCAUCUUCAUGGUGAGUUACCGCCAGCUGAAUGUAUAGGCUGGUUGGGGGGAACGCGGGGAAGUGAAACAUCUCAGUACCCGCAGGAAGAGAAAAUAAAGUAAUGAUUCUGUGAGUAGUGGCGAGCGAAAGCGGAAGAGACUAAACCUGUGGUGUGUGAUAGCGGUUAGGCGUUGCAUCAUGGGGGUUGUGGGAGUCACAGUGGCAGUUCUAACUGGCUGCCGGCAUGAUGUUCAGGAUGGUAGGUGAACGACUUGGAAUGGUCGGCCGUAGAGGGUGAGAGUCCCGUAAUCGAAAUUGUUCUGUCCGUGGUGUGGCCACCCGAGUAGCACGGGGCUCGUGGAAUCCUGUGUGAAUCUGCCAAGACCACUUGGUUGCCUGAAUACUUCCUGAUGACCGAUAGCGGAUAGUACCGUGAGGGAAUGGUGAAAAGUACCCCGGGAGGGGAGUGAAAUAGUACCUGAAACCGGGCGCUUACAAGCCGUCAGAGGCCUGCUGGGCUGAUGGCGUGCCUAUUGAAGAAUGAGCCUGCGAGUUAGUGCUGUGUCGCGAGGUUAACCCGUUGGGGGGAGUCGUAGCGAAAGCGAGUCCGAAAGGGCGUUUUAGUGGCACGGUCUAGACCCGAAGCGGGGUGAUCUACCCAUGGCCAGGUUGAAGCACGUGUAAGAGCGUGUGGAGGACCGAACCCACUUCAGUUGAAAAUGGAGGGGAUGAGCUGUGGGUAGGGGUGAAAGGCCAAUCAAACUCCGUGAUAGCUGGUUCUCCCCGAAAUGCAUUUAGGUGCAGCGUCCCGUGGUCCCCGGCGGAGGUAGAGCUACUGGGUGGCUGAUCGGCCCCACAGGGUUAGUGACGUCAACCAAACUCCGAAUGCCGUUCGGGUUACAGCGGGGCAGUGAGACUGCGGGGGAUAAGCUCCGUGGUCGAAAGGGAAACAGCCCAGAUCGCCGGCUAAGGCCCCUAAGCGUGUGCUAAGUGGGAAAGGAUGUGCGGUCGCGCAGACAACCAGGAGGUUGGCUUAGAAGCAGCCACCCUUGAAAGAGUGCGUAAUAGCUCACUGGUCAAGUGAUCGUGCGCCGACAAUGUAGCGGGGCUCAAGCACACCGCCGAAGCCGCGGAUCCGCAGCGUGUACUCUCCUGUCCCUUGAUGGACGUGGCAGGGGUUGCGGGUGGUAGGGGAGCGUCCUGCACCGGGUGAAGCCUCGGAGUGAUCCAGGGGUGGAUGGUGCGGGAGUGAGAAUGCAGGCAUGAGUAGCGAUACUAGGGUGAGAAACCCUAGCGCCGAAUGACCAAGGGUUCCAGGGCCAGGCUAGUCCGCCCUGGGUGAGUCGGGACCUAAGGCGAGGCCGACAGGCGUAGUCGAUGGACGACGGGUUGAUAUUCCCGUACCGGCGAAGCACCGCCCAUGCUGACGCGCGGGUGCUAACCCACGCCGAUGGCCACGAACGCGUCAUGUGAUCACUUCGGUGGUCCGUGUCGUGGUGGUUGUUGGUCUGGGGACCCUCCGUGCAGGUAGGCAAGCGUAUUAACAGGGGUGACGCACAGUGGUAGCCUCCGCGGGCCUAAUGGCUUGGCCCGUUCAAGCGAGCAGCCCGCUGCCUAGGCAAAUCCGGGCAGCAUGAGGGUCAGACGUGAUGGUGACCCGCCCAUUUGGGUGGGGAAGUAGGGUGAUCCUGGGGUGCCGAGAAAAGCCUCGACGCGAUGGUGCCAGCCGCCCGUACCCUAAACCGACACAGGUGGUCGGGCAGAGUAUGCCUAGGCGCACGAGAUAAUCAUGGUGAAGGAACUCGGCAAAAUGCCCCCGUAACUUCGGGAGAAGGGGGGCCCAAGCCUUGAAGCUCCUUGCGGGCUAGGGGUGAGGGUCGCAGAGACCAGGGAGAAGCGACUGUUUACUAAAAACACAGGUCCGUGCGAAGCCGCAAGGCGAUGUAUACGGACUGACGCCUGCCCGGUGCUGGAAGGUUAAGAGGAACCGUCAACCCCUUUUGGGGUGAAGCGGUGAAUUUAAGCCCCAGUAAACGGCGGUGGUAACUAUAACCAUCCUAAGGUAGCGAAAUUCCUUGUCGGGUAAGUUCCG
Molecule: ribosomal RNA, 2203 nt
Filed under: Skeletonema menzelii
Lineage: Eukaryota; Bacillariophyta; Thalassiosirophyceae; Thalassiosirales; Thalassiosiraceae
Description: partial Bacterial large subunit ribosomal RNA
Rfam family: Bacterial large subunit ribosomal RNA
Source: RNAcentral